Molecule: ribosomal RNA, 291 nt
Filed under: Triticum aestivum (bread wheat)
Lineage: Eukaryota; Viridiplantae; Streptophyta; Magnoliopsida; Poales; Poaceae
Description: partial small subunit ribosomal RNA
Source: RNAcentral
AUGGAGUUAUGGAGGAGGCUACUUGAAAAGUCCAAGAUCGAGGUCCAUUACACAAAAGUAUUCCGUGACAAAGGGCUAUCAAUGGCUAAGUUGUUUGGUGAUUGGGAUGAUUCUUUUGACAAGCUUUAUGCUUGGAAAGUUGAGGUUGAUAAGAGGUUUCCUGGAAGCAUAGUUACGAUUGACCACAUGGAGUAUGAUCAGAAGAAAAAAAAUCAUACGGAUGUUUGUUGGGCUGAAACCUUUGUGCGAUGGAUUCUUGGAUGGCUGCAGACCUUACUUGGCGAUAGAUAA